CCUACCCAUCAGAGGGGGAUAACACUUGGAAACAGGUGCUAAUACCGCAUAACAGUUUAUGCCGCAUGGCAUAAGAGUGAAAGGCGCUUUCGGGUGUCGCUGAUGGAUGGACCCGCGGUGCAUUAGCUAGUUGGUGAGGUAACGGCUCACCAAGGCCACGAUGCAUAGCCGACCUGAGAGGGUGAUCGGCCACACUGGGACUGAGACACGGCCCAG
RNAcentral lists this ribosomal RNA (216 nucleotides) under uncultured bacterium. Its description in RNAcentral is "partial 16S ribosomal RNA". It matches the Rfam family "Bacterial small subunit ribosomal RNA", at positions 125 to 334 of the family's 1533-position model. The record is from RNAcentral. RNAcentral also lists the same sequence under 1 other name.